Megalopta genalis is the source of this 414-nucleotide non-coding RNA. Lineage: Eukaryota; Metazoa; Arthropoda; Insecta; Hymenoptera; Halictidae. The record is from RefSeq and is a predicted model, not a curated record.
CGGUGCCAACCAGCAAGCUGUACAGCGCCGAGAUGAAGCAGAGGGCAAUGCUGAAACAAUAUAUAAGCUAUUAUAUAUUGAUUAGAUUGCAUGCCCUCGAUUAAUUACAAUAACUCAAUGAAAAACCAUCCAAAGAAAUGCUUACUCCAAUUGAUGAUACACGUCGCUGCAAUCGUCUGGUAAAAGGACAGUGCCAAUGAGUAUGAACGGAUGGCAGACACUGGUCAUGGUUAAAUUGGAGCCAUAGAUAAAAGCCACUGCAGAGAAGAACAGGCAUCCCAUGUACCAUUUCAAGUUACUGGAGCCUAUGCAACAAUCCAACCUAUGGUAGAAAAUAUAGUUUGUAUCAUUUCAUUAGAUAGGGAUUACUUUCUGUACAAAGAAAAAAUAUACCAUUUACAAUGAUAUUCCCUA